Molecule: long non-coding RNA, 1118 nt
Organism: Drosophila santomea
Lineage: Eukaryota; Metazoa; Arthropoda; Insecta; Diptera; Drosophilidae
Exons: 4
Source: RefSeq, a predicted model, not a curated record
UGAUUCUAUUAGCAAUUUCUGCGGAAAUCGAGGCAUCUCCAGAACCGUUAGCAUCAAAGGGCAGCGCCACUUGCCCGCCGUUCCGAGCCGUCAGCAAGCGAAGCGCUUGAGCGAAAACAGUAGCGCCGUACCCACCGGUACCGCCCGCGCCCCCCCUCUCACCCUUCUUUCUGCACGGAAAAAAAUAAUAAAACACUAAAUUAUAUAUUCUUAAUGUUUAUUAAAUGGUUUUGUAUAGUCUGAGGGCAUUAUAAAACAAGCUCUCAUCGACCCAGUUCCAGUGGCUGCAAAAACAAAUGCUCGAGUUCAAAGCCUAAUGCGAAAAAUUCGCAGAAAUCUGUCAUCGCCUUGUCAACGCUUCGUCAUCGUCAUCCUCAGUGGCAGUGGCAGCACAGGAAGAAGCCAGCGAACCAUGGAGUCACUGAGCCCGAAAAACCAAACUGUCCUGCCCCACCCCUCCCUUCUCUUGGCUUCCCAGUGCCUGGCAAAGUGUGGCUCCAAUUGGCGCUUGACAUGGCCCCGACGACACAACAACAACAACGGACAGACAAGCGGACAAGCGGCCAAACGGACGGACAAACGUAAAUAUUGUUCCAUCAAAAAUCUGAGCAACGUUUGCUGAUUUACACGUUGAUGCCUUUGCUGCCGUCGCCGUUGUCACUGUCGGCGAUCAUAUCAAAGCGGCCGGCAUACAGAUAAGCAAGAGUGUAGGAGUUUGGGAGCUAAAUAAAAAAUAAAAAGGACUGCCAAAGGCUUCAACAACUGAAGGCGAGGGGAGCUUGGCGACAGUGGAAAGCCAAAGUCUCCGAUCCUGACCAAUCUCUGGCGACAUAAACUGGCGUCUAUCCAAUUGCUGUCUCCAUGCCCUCUGAUGAACGAAGAAUCGCCCGCAUUUCGGACCAACGCUUUUCUGGCCGUGUGUCUGCGGACAACCGCUUAGAUGGAGAGCUCGAGAGCUGGACAAACGGAUGCUUGGAAGGAUGACUGGGGAAUUGGAUGCUCCGAUUGUUGUUGCUGCGAGCGGACGGAAGCUAUCGGCCAGGCGGAAGUGAACGGCCGCCGUUGGCGUUUUGGCCACGUGAUCGGAAGGAAGCGCAACUUGCGAAUUGAAACAUCCG